This 367-nucleotide ribosomal RNA is filed under the name Hyperplatys aspersa. Its description in RNAcentral is "partial 12S ribosomal RNA". Lineage: Eukaryota; Metazoa; Arthropoda; Insecta; Coleoptera; Cerambycidae. The record is from RNAcentral.
UACCCUAUUAUUUUAAUUGUAAAUUUUAAUUUUGUUAGUAAUAGUUUAAGAUCUAGAAAACUAAAGAAUUUGGCGGUAUUUUAAACUUUUCAGAGGAACCUGUUUUAUAAAUGAUAAUCCACGAUUUAGAUAUUCUUAUUUAUUAGUUUAUAUAUCGUCGUAGUUUGAUUAUUUUUUUAGAAUUUUAAUAUUCAAAAAUUAUUUAAAUAAAAAAAUUCAGAUCAAGGUAUAGUUUAUAAUAAGAUAGUAAUGGGUUACAUUUUUAUUAAAAUAAGAUUUAAAAUUGAAAAUUUUAAUGAAUUUGGAUUUGAUAGUAAUUUAAAGAAAAAAUUUUUAAAUGACUAUGGCUCUAAAAUAUGUACAUAUC